UGGGAUAUAGCUCAGUUGGUUAGAGCGCCACCUUGACAUGGUGGAGGUCAGCGGUUCGAGUCCGCUUAUCCCAACCA
RNAcentral lists this transfer RNA (77 nucleotides) under Bdellovibrio sp. RNAcentral's name for it is "tRNA-Val". It matches the Rfam family "tRNA". Rfam says of the family: Transfer RNA (tRNA) molecules are approximately 80 nucleotides in length. Their secondary structure includes four short double-helical elements and three loops (D, anti-codon, and T loops). The record is from RNAcentral. Lineage: Bacteria; Pseudomonadati; Bdellovibrionota; Bdellovibrionia; Bdellovibrionales; Pseudobdellovibrionaceae.